GUGGUUUCCUAGAUAGAUUGAACUACCUGUCAUGGUUCACAUCUCAUCUAACAGCCACGUGGGAACCCAUUCAAGAGAAAAAAAAAGAGAUCAAACGGUCAGGCGAAAUAAUGAUUGCCAAGGGGCAUUGAAAAAUAAAAGAAAGUUGCAGGAACCUCUGAUUCCGAUGUCUCCUGUGGAAGGAGCAAUUGUCAAUCUGUACUU
Molecule: long non-coding RNA, 204 nt
Filed under: Lathyrus oleraceus (garden pea)
Lineage: Eukaryota; Viridiplantae; Streptophyta; Magnoliopsida; Fabales; Fabaceae
Description: Pisum sativum (pea) long non-coding RNA (PSAT_LNC041498)
Source: RNAcentral